GUGCUCACUUGGCUGCACACACACUAAAAUUGGGACAAUAUAGAGAUUAGCGUGGCCCCUGCGCAAAGAUGACGUGCAAAUUCCUGAAGCCUUCCAUAUUGUU
Alexandromys fortis (reed vole) is the source of this 103-nucleotide small nuclear RNA. The record is from RefSeq and is a predicted model, not a curated record. Lineage: Eukaryota; Metazoa; Chordata; Mammalia; Rodentia; Cricetidae.